Molecule: ribosomal RNA, 132 nt
Filed under: Cladophialophora chaetospira
Lineage: Eukaryota; Fungi; Ascomycota; Eurotiomycetes; Chaetothyriales; Herpotrichiellaceae
Description: partial large subunit ribosomal RNA
Source: RNAcentral
GUUCUGAGGGUCGGUCAAAGGCCUUGGGAAUGUAUCUACCUACGGGUAGACUUAUAGACCAGGGUGUCAUGCGGCCUCUCGGGACCGAGGAACGCGCUUCGGCUCGGAUGUUGGCGUAAUGGUUGUCAGCGA